Molecule: long non-coding RNA, 218 nt
Filed under: Linum usitatissimum (flax)
Lineage: Eukaryota; Viridiplantae; Streptophyta; Magnoliopsida; Malpighiales; Linaceae
Description: long non-coding RNA (LUSI_LNC003507)
Source: RNAcentral
UCUAGGAUUUUAUGUUUUUCUCAGUUCCUAAAUUUUCGGGUCUUUUUCAGUUUUAUUUGUUAGUGUCUUUUUUUUGUUUUUAUUUUUCUUUUUCGUUAUAGUUGUUAGUUUCGUGUCUAUGGCUUUGAAAGGAUUGUUAGGAGAUUAAGGAUGCGAAGUAUGGUAACUAAAUCACUGAUGACACCUCCCAAAUUACCAGCUCAUGUAUUGUACGGAAA